RNAcentral lists this ribosomal RNA (887 nucleotides) under uncultured archaeon. Its description in RNAcentral is "bacterial SSU rRNA". It matches the Rfam family "Archaeal small subunit ribosomal RNA", at positions 28 to 922 of the family's 1478-position model. The record is from RNAcentral.
GGCGACUGGGAUUGAUCUAAGCAUGCGAGUCAUUGUAGUAAUACAAGGCAGACGGCUCAGUAACGCGUAGUCAACCUAACCUAUGGACGGGAAUAACCUCGGGAAACUGAGUAUAAUGCCCGAUAGAACAUUAUGCCUGGAAUGGUUUAUGUUCCAAAUGAUUUAUCGCCGUAGGAUGGGGCCGCGUCCGAUCAGGUUGUUGGUGGGGUAAUGGCUCACCAAGCCUAUAACCGGUACGGGCCGUGAGAGCGGGAGCCCGGAGAUGGGCACUGAGACAAGGGCCCAGGCCCUACGGGGCGCAGCAGUCGCGAAAACUCCGCAAUGCGCGCAAGCGUGACGGGGCUACCCCGAGUGCCGUCCGCUGAGGAUGGCUUUUCCCCGGUGUAAUGAGCCGGGGGAAUAAGGAGAGGGCAAGACUGGUGUCAGCCGCCGCGGUAAUACCAGCUCUCCGAGUGGUAGAGAUGAUUAUUGGGCUUAAAGCGUCCGUAGCCGGCUUAGCAAGUCUCCUGUUAAAUUCAGCGACUUAAUCGUUGAGCCGCGGGAGAUACUACUAGGCUAGGAGGCGGGAGAGGCCGACGGUAUUCUCGGGGUAGGGGUGAAAUCCUAUAAUCCCGGGAGGACCACCAGUGGCGAAGGCUGUCGGCUAGAACGCGCUCGACGGUGAGGGACGAAAGCUGGGGGAGCGAACCGGAUUAGAUACCCGGGUAGUCCCAGCUGUAAACGAUGCGGGCUAGGUGUUGGGGUGGCUACGAGCCACUUCAGUGCCGCAGGGAAGCCAUUAAGCCCGCCGCCUGGGGGAGUACGGCCGCAAGGCUGAAACUUAAAGGAAUUGGCGGGGGAGCACCACAAGGCGUGAAGCUUGCGGUUCAAUUGGAGUCAACGCCGGG